Molecule: long non-coding RNA, 1540 nt
Organism: Oncorhynchus masou masou (cherry salmon)
Lineage: Eukaryota; Metazoa; Chordata; Actinopteri; Salmoniformes; Salmonidae
Exons: 2
Source: RefSeq, a predicted model, not a curated record
GUGCUUGCCAAAUCUCCAGGCUCUUUUGACAAACAUUGAAAUGAACACUAGAUGGUGCCAAGUGACUGUUCUCCUUUUUUUCAUUGUGUAUUGCAAUUCACAGUUGUUUGCCAAACUACCUGAAUAAUUUCACUUUGCAUUUCAGGGAUGACUACAACCACAGGGAUCGAACCAGAAACACUUGGAGGAGAGAUGCCCAGGCAUAGAUGACAAAGAGAUGACUGAGAGCGGUCUCAACUGGUUGCUCCGAACUUGCUCUGAACCGAGAGAGGUGGAGAACAAUGGCCUUUGUCAAUGGCCUAUGCUGAAGGACCUGAGCCCAAGGACCAUGCCACAGGACUACCUGGCAUGAUGACUCCUUGCUGUCCCCAGUCCACCUGGCCGUGCUGCUGCUCCAGUUUCAACUGUUCUGCCUACGGCUAUGGAAUCCUGACUUGUUCACCGGACGUGCUACCUGUCCCAGACCUAUUAUUUGACAAUGCUGGUCAUUUAUGAACAUUUGAACAUCUUGGCCAUGUUCUGUUAUAAUCUCCACCCGGCACAGCCAGAAGAAGACUGGCCACCCCUCAUAGCCUGGUUCCUCUCUAGGUUUCUUCCUAGGUUUUGGCCUUUCUAGGGAGUUUUUCCUAGCCACUGUGCUUCUACACCUACAUUGCUUGCUGUUUGGGGUUUUAGGCUGGGUUUCUGUGCAGCACAUUGAGAUAUCAGCUGAUAUACGAAGGGCUAUAUAAAUACAUUUAUAAUAUAAAUAAUAAUAUCCCAUUUAGCAGACGCUUUUGUCCAAAGCGACUUACAAGUCGGCUGGGGCCACUACUUUUUGCAUAUGGGUGGCCCCAGUGGGAAACGAACCCACGACGCUUGGCGUUGCAAGCGCCAUGCUCUACCGACUGAGCCACACAGGACCCACACAGGAUUUGAUUGACUUAGCACAAGAUAUUUCCUUACAAUAUAAGAUUGAUAUAUGUAACCAAAUUGCAGAGCAACCUUUUUUUUCUUCUUUAAAAUGCAAUUUAAAUUGAAUGAAUGUGUUACUUUGCAGAUGUAUUUAAAUGGAAUAGAGAACAGGGCAAAUGUGGUGCAUGUUCACUAAACUCAGUCCGCCACCUUAAGUUGGGAGCAUGGUUGACUCAUAGGGCUACGUGUGUAAGUGUGUGUGCUAACACAUGCCAUUUCUAUGUGUUUGUUUGAGUGUGCAUUUAUUUGUGAGUGUGUGUGUGUGUGUGUGUGUCUUUAUCUGGGUGUGUGUCUGAGUUUGUAUUUGUGUGUGUGUGUAUGUGUGUCUGCGCCAAUGCGUGUCUUUCUCUGUGUAUUUGAAUGCGUGUCUUUCUCUGUGUAUUUGAGUUUGUUUCUGUGUGUGUGGGUUCAAGCCUGUGCACACGCACACACACACACCACAGUAGGUGUUGUCAGAAAUGAUCCCAUUUUCAUUACUCACCAGUUCAAAGAAGGAGGUGAGGCCCUGCCUUGCAGCAAGUGAUAAAUGCAUUACCCCAAUAAACCCUGUCUCCACAGAGGUGCUGAGUAGGGAGACACACACAAA